GCCAGGAUAGAGAACUUUCUCUCCCUCCUACUUCUGCUUACUCUUCUGACAACUAUUGGAUCACUCCUUGGAGCUAACACCCCACUAGGUGUCUCUUCCUGCACUUCUGCUUGAUUGUUUCCUUCCUUCCUCCAGCCACAGGAAGAUGGCCAAGUUUGUGUUCCUCAGCCGAUGCAGAGUUCAAGAAUGGAAGCAAAAUUUUGAGACCACUUCUCUUUAGGAACAGAAUUGUUCACAAACAGAAGCAUCCAUGAACCCAGUGGGUCAUAGGGGAUUCCCCUCCCCCACCACACACAAAAAGCUGUGGCUGUGAGAAAAUGGAGAACUCGCUGUACAGUGGAUACCAUGAGGAUCUGGACCUGCUUUUGUGUCUCUUACCCUCAGCUUACACUAAACCCAAUUGAACAAUUCUCUGCACUGCACCUCUGCCAUGCUGCCCUGCCUGGGAGCCAGCAGAAUAUGGACUGAAACCUCCACCAACUGUGAGCCAAAAUAAACCUUUCUUCCUUUAAAUUUUUGGGUGCAAAGUUAAGUUGUUGGUUUGAGAUCUUCAAGUUUAAGGAUCACAUCAGAAUACCACAUUACCCAUAAUUAUAUUAUCUUCAUGGAUUCUUCUGGUCUGUGACAGAUUGACUUUCCUUGUUUUUAAUGAUCUUGAGAGUUCUGAGGAGUAAUGAUCAGGUAUUUUGUAGAAUUUUCCUCUAUUAGCAUUUAUGUGAUGUUUUUCUUAUAAACGAAUAGUGAUUAUAUGGUUUUAGAAGGAAUAUCACAGAGGUAAAGUGGUAUUCUGGUCACAUCAAAGUACACAUGAACAUGACUUAUCACUGUAGAAUGUUGAUCUUGAUCAUUUGGCUUAGGAUUUCUUCUUUGGAAAGGUACUCUUUGUUCCUCCAUUGCCUACUGUACUCAUUUUAAAGAAGUCACUGUCCAGAGUUCAAACUUAAGAAAUGCAGAAUUUAUACUACACUUACACAGCAUCUAUGCUAAUUGUGUGGACUUCAUUUUGUGAUUUUUCAAUAUUUUGAGCUCUAUGUUCUGGAGAUUAAUUCCUUGAUAGAUGAAUAGUUAGCAAAUAUUUUCUCCCACUCUCUAGGUUGUCUUUUAAUUCUGCUGAUUAUUUCUUUUGCAGUGCAGAAAUGUCUUAGUUUGAUGUAGUCACAUUUGUCUACUUUUUUAUUAUUGGUAGUAUGGGGUUCUAUCUAAAAAAAAUCAUUCAUUAUGCCAAUAUUGUGAAGUGUUUCUCCUGUUUUCCAUACAAGUCAGUUAAAUGCUUAGAGUCCAUGGCAAUGCUCUCCACUAGUCCAGCCAGUGGCCUAGAGCCCCUAGGAGUGUCUCAUCCUUCUCCAUAUUGAGGAUCUGCACUUGGAAGGCCCAAAGGCCAGUGGUGGAAGCCAGAAAACCUACACCGGUGAGAUGAAGGAUUUGUGCCACCAAGCUAAGGGAUCCACAUUGGAGCCAGCCUGAGGAAAACAGCAGCCAUUCCCAGCGACAGUAAAGCCCCAAGCUCCUUCUCCAAGGAGAACAGCCUAGUUUGCAUCAGGAAAACCAUCUGCAGAAAGCUUCUCCUAGAAAAUCAACAGGCCACGAUCUUCUUCCUCAAGUUCUCUUUUCAUGGUCAUUGGCAAAAAUCCUCAGGUGGAUCCUCCUUGCCCAGACCAUGCUGAUUCAGUUCAGCUGGGUGAUACAAGUAGACCAUUAGUCAAUCUACCACAGUAACUUUAUCAAAAAACUUAGAAGUGAAACACAUUGAGUCGUCUCUAGAUGUUUCCAUGUAUAGAAUCAUGUCAUCUGCAAACAUGAAUCAUUUACUUUCAUUUCCAACUGGAUGCCCUUUCUUUCUCUUCCCAAGAUUUUCAGUACCAUAUUAAGUAAAGAAUGAUGAAAUCAGGUAUUCUAGUCGUAUUCUCAAUCUUAUAGCAAAUACUUUCAGCUUUUCACUGUUUAGUAUGUUAUUGGCUGUGAAUUUUUCAUAGCCUGUAAUAUUUUGAAAUAUGUUGCUUCUGUACUUAAUUUUUUGUAAAGUUUUAUCAUCAAGCAGUGUUGAAC
Molecule: long non-coding RNA, 2046 nt
Filed under: Heterocephalus glaber (naked mole-rat)
Lineage: Eukaryota; Metazoa; Chordata; Mammalia; Rodentia; Bathyergidae
Description: lncRNA (ENSHGLG00100049456.1)
Source: RNAcentral